AAACAUUGCCCUGGAUGCUGCUCCCUGAUUGGCCUUUGGAGGGGAGGUGGGUUCUAGGGUGUGGACAUGGUUUUAUGGAUCGUGUGUUCAUGUCAAAACAAGACCAACUUCUGUCCUGAUGUUUGUGGAGUCUGCAUCUGAGCCGGGUAAAACUGGAUCCGACACCAGCCUCUUGUUACCUCACCCCACAGUUUAUUCCUGUACGCUGCUCACUCACACCCUGGUGCUUGUGGUCUGAGAUUUCCCUCAUGUUCAGCGAGUGGGGGAGAAAUACAACUCAGAGAGAAGCGUCACCGAAUCCCACCAGAGUUGAAACCAGACAAGACGAGAUUCCCCGACUCCCACUCUCCUUGUUCCUGGUGUACGGGCCCUGAGCCACUGACCGUCUGCUGACCUUCACCAGACCCACGAGCUGCUGAACUGUCCGCCCCCCCGCCCCGUCCUCGCUUCAGGAUGUCACAUGGACACAAUAAGUGUGUAGCUGUAACCGCGCUGUCCUCGCUCCCAUUGUCACCGAGACAAAGCUGCAGAUUUAUAAGUCCGGCGGGAGAGAGUCGGAAAAAAACCCACGAGUGCAUCGGAGAAGAAAGAGGCUGACCUGACCGGGACGUGACGAGCAUGUGGAGCGUCAAAGAGCAGCGUUACAUAAGACUAUUAAAACCUCAUUCUUUUAAAUGAAACAUUAUUUUCAGACUGACCACAAGGCAGUUUCCCAUCAUGCACUUGUCUGCGUCAAUUCAGGAAUAUUCAGCUAUUUUAAUAAAUCAUUCACUUCUAGAAGGAGAGGUCGUGAGUGACGUGUGAUUUAUGAGCAAAGACUCUGUUGGAUAUUGUUAUUAAAACUGUAUUGCAAAAACAA
Molecule: long non-coding RNA, 859 nt
Organism: Limanda limanda (common dab)
Lineage: Eukaryota; Metazoa; Chordata; Actinopteri; Pleuronectiformes; Pleuronectidae
Exons: 3
Source: RefSeq, a predicted model, not a curated record